RNAcentral lists this long non-coding RNA (709 nucleotides) under Mytilus galloprovincialis (Mediterranean mussel). Lineage: Eukaryota; Metazoa; Mollusca; Bivalvia; Mytilida; Mytilidae. The record is from RNAcentral.
CUCGCCUUACCCAAGUUUAUUCUCCUUCAUUAAAAAAUUAUCACCUCUUACCAAAGUCUGUCCACCUUCAUUAACAAAAAUAUCUCCCCUUAGGCUCUUACUAAAGUCUAUCCCCGUCAUUAAUGAUUUGAAAAAUUAUCUCCCCUUACCAAAGUAUGUCCACCUUCAUUAACAAAAAUAUCUCCCCUUAGGCUCUUACUAAAGUCUAUCCCCGUCAUUUAUGAUUUGAAAAAAUUAUCUCCCCUUACCAAAGUCUAUCUCCGUCAUUUAUGAGUUGAAAAAUUAUCUCCCCUUACCAAAGUCUAUCAACCUUCAUUAACAAAAAUAUCUCACCUUACGCUCUUAUCAAAAUCUAUCCCCGUCAUUUAUGAUUUGAAAAAUUAUCUCCCCUUACCAAAGUUUAUCAUCCUUCAUUAACAAAACUAUCUCCCCUUAGGCUCUUACCAAAGUCUAUCCCAGUCAUUUAUUAUUUGAAAAAUUAUCUCCCCUUACCAAAGUCUAUCAACCUUAAUUAACAAAAAAAAUCUCCCCUUAGGCUCUUACCAAAGUCUAUCCCCGUCAUUUAUUAUUUGAAAAAUUAUCUCCCCUUACCAAAGUUUAUCAACCUUAAUUAACAAAAAAAAAAUAUCUCCCCUUAGGCUCUUACCAAAGUCUAUCCCCGUCAUUUAUUAUUUGAAAAAAUAUCUCCCCUUACAAAAGUUUAUCAACC